This 414-nucleotide ribosomal RNA is filed under the name uncultured bacterium. RNAcentral's name for it is "bacterial SSU rRNA". It matches the Rfam family "Archaeal small subunit ribosomal RNA", at positions 723 to 1143 of the family's 1478-position model. The record is from RNAcentral.
ACUGAAUAGAUACCCGGGUAGUCCCAGCUGUAAACGAUGCAGACUAGGUGUUUGGACGGCCACGUGCCGUUCUAGUGCCGCAGGGAAGCUGUUAAGUCUGCCGCCUGGGGAGUACGAUCGCAAGAUUGAAACUUAAAGGAAUUGGCGGGGGAGCACCACAAGGGGUGAAGCUUGCGGUUUAAUUGGAGUCAACGCCGGAAAUCUCACCGGGAGCGACAGCAGUAUGAAAGCCAGAUUGAAGGUCUUGCUAGACGAGCUGAGAGGAGGUGCAUGGCCGUCGCCAGUUCGUGCCGUGAGGUGUCCUGUUAAGUCAGGCAACGAUCGAGACCCGCGUCCUCUGUUGCAACCAGCUUUGUGCUGGGCACACUGAGGAGACCGCCACUGAUAAAGUGGAGGAAGGAGCGGGCCACGGCA